RNAcentral lists this small nuclear RNA (103 nucleotides) under Dasypus novemcinctus (nine-banded armadillo). Lineage: Eukaryota; Metazoa; Chordata; Mammalia; Cingulata; Dasypodidae. The record is from RNAcentral.
UUGCUUUGGCAGCCUAUACACUAAAAUUGGAAUGAGAUAAAGAAGAUUAGCAUGCCUCCUAUACAAGGAUGACACACAAAUUCGCAAAGUGUUCCAUAAUUUU